CAGCAGCCCGAGUGGUGAUCGCUAUUAUUGGGCCUAAAGCGUCCGUAGCCGGGUUGGUAAACCCUUGGGUAAAUCGUCCAGCUUAACUGAACGAAUUCCGAGGAGACUGCCAACCUUGGGACCGGGAGAGGUCGGAGGUACUCCAGGGGUAGGGGUGAAAUCCUGUAAUCCUUGGGGGACCACCGGUGGCGAAGGCGUCCGACUAGAACGGGUCCGACGGUAAGGGACGAAGCCCUGGGUCGCAAACCGGAUUAGAUACCCGAGUAGUCC
This 270-nucleotide ribosomal RNA is filed under the name uncultured archaeon. RNAcentral's name for it is "partial 16S ribosomal RNA". It matches the Rfam family "Archaeal small subunit ribosomal RNA", at positions 477 to 747 of the family's 1478-position model. The record is from RNAcentral.